RNAcentral lists this ribosomal RNA (253 nucleotides) under uncultured bacterium. RNAcentral describes it as "partial 16S ribosomal RNA". It matches the Rfam family "Bacterial small subunit ribosomal RNA", at positions 524 to 776 of the family's 1533-position model. The record is from RNAcentral.
UACGGAGGGUGCAAGCGUUAUCCGGAUUCACUGGGCUUAAAGGGCGCGUAGGCGGGUUGGUAAGUCCGUGGUGAAAUCUCCAAGCUUAACUUGGAAACUGCCGUGGAUACUCUCAAGCUUGAAUAUAGUGGAGGUGAGCGGAAUAUGUCAUGUAGCGGUGAAAUGCGUAGAUAUGACAUAGAACACCCAUUGCGAAGGCAGCUCGCUGGACUAUUAUUGACGCUGAGGCGCGAAAGCGUGGGGAGCAAACAGG